AAUGAAGUCAUUACAUAUCCAAAUAAAGAAAAUAAACCAAAUCAAAGCACAGAGCGUGGAUCGAGCACUGGAAACUCGACAAAGGAAACGAGAUCUGAAACCACAACUACAAGAUCUUGACAGGAAAAAAACUAAAUUCUUGCAAUCUCGACGAAAAAACCCUAAAUCCCACGGAAAUGAAACAGAUCUAGAGGCAGGAGAUCUACCUUUUUCGUGCGAUUUGACCUGGGUUUCGAGAGGAGGAUGGGACGAAGAAUGAGAAGAGAAGCAGAAGGUC
This 277-nucleotide long non-coding RNA is filed under the name Elaeis guineensis (African oil palm). Its description in RNAcentral is "long non-coding RNA (EGUI_LNC005474)". The record is from RNAcentral. Lineage: Eukaryota; Viridiplantae; Streptophyta; Magnoliopsida; Arecales; Arecaceae.